UAAAUACUCCCCCGUCCUAAAACUUUUGUCUUUGAUUUGUCUAGAUAUAAACGUAUCUAGUCAUCAUGUAUUAGUAUUUAGAUACAUCCAUUUCUAAACAAAUAUAAGACAAAAAUUUUGGGACGAGGAAGUAUAAG
This is a non-coding RNA of Hordeum vulgare subsp. vulgare (domesticated barley), 137 nucleotides long. NCBI's taxonomy places the organism in Eukaryota, Viridiplantae, Streptophyta, Magnoliopsida, Poales, Poaceae. The record is from Rfam.